This 224-nucleotide unclassified non-coding RNA is filed under the name Hevea brasiliensis (rubber tree). Lineage: Eukaryota; Viridiplantae; Streptophyta; Magnoliopsida; Malpighiales; Euphorbiaceae. The record is from RNAcentral.
GAGUGUCCUAGGAGUUGACAAGUACCUGAGGUACUCUUUCUAUCAAGGAUGCUUCAAGCAAAGUCGGCAUCCGAGUAGGAAUAUAAAUCAAAGGAUGCAUUUCUAGGAUACCAUAGACCUAAAUGCAAUGUACCAUUCAAGUAUUUGAAAAUACGUUUAACAGUAUGCACAUAAACAUACGAAAAACAUAAUGUCUAGUUUACUAGCUAUGAGAUAUAAGAGAC